UACGGAGGGUGCGAGCGUUGUCCGGAAUCACUGGGCGUAAAGGGCGCGUAGGCGGCCUGAUAAGUAGGGGGUGAAAUCCUGCGGCUUAACCGCAGGGCUGCCUUCUAAACUGUCAGGCUAGAGCACAGUAGAGGCAGGUGGAAUUCCCGGUGUAGCGGUGGAAUGCGUAGAGAUCGGGAGGAACACCUGUGGCGAAGGCGGCCCCCUGGGCCGCACCUGACGCUGAGACGCGAAGGCGUGGGGAGCGAACGGG
Molecule: ribosomal RNA, 253 nt
Filed under: uncultured bacterium
Lineage: Bacteria
Description: partial 16S ribosomal RNA
Rfam family: Bacterial small subunit ribosomal RNA
Source: RNAcentral